Molecule: long non-coding RNA, 3764 nt
Organism: Ictalurus punctatus (channel catfish)
Lineage: Eukaryota; Metazoa; Chordata; Actinopteri; Siluriformes; Ictaluridae
Exons: 3
Source: RefSeq, a predicted model, not a curated record
UGUUCUUGUAUAAGGAUAUAAUAGGAGAAUGGUUGCAAAAGAGGUACAAAAUUAUUUUAAGCUCUGAGUGUUACUUAAUUUAUUUAUUUACUAUUCAAUAGUUUGGUCAUUUAUAUAAAACUUAGCCUACUUUGUUAUAUUACCCUAUAUUGUGUGAUUAUUGAUAACAUCAAGAUGACCAGCUUAUGCCAGGUGGUCCAGCACUACAAAGAACCGAAUUUUACACAAGGAACUGGCAUUUUUUUUGGCCUUCAUGCUCUUCUUCCUAUAAGCUAAACCUGCAUGUGAAAGAAAGCCCUCAACCCCUUCCCUAGGAAGAAAGUCAGUGAGACAGUUAUAUGCUUUCCAAACUUGGAAUGAGAAGGCUGCAGCUGUCCUCGAGUGACACAUGAGAUGUUACGCCAGUGCAGAACGCUGGUGAACCUAACUGAAAUGGUUGCCGUGUAAAUCACAUCUGUGAUCUCCAGCACCAAGAUACUAAAAUAACCCUCUCCAUGUGCCUGUGCAAGAGAAAAAAUAAAUAUGGCUUAGAUCUUCCAGUACUUGUCUACUAAAAGCAACACAGAAUCUUACUGAUGAUGUUUUUUUAAAAAAUUUUAUGUAUUCUGUGGAACAUGUUGAUUUUUAUCUGGGUAAAGUCUACAGCAGGGUGUUAAACAAAGUAAAUUCUUAAAAUAUUAUCAAGGGAGGACAAAUCAGUACUCUGGGCAUGCAGGACAAGGAGAUUUGUCAUAUCUCAGCCCAGCCAUGACUCGGUUUCCUGAGAAGAAACACCCACUUCUAACAUGGCCGCUGAGGACUACACUUCCCACACACGCAUCCGCUCACCUUCCCCGGAGUUCUGAUCACACACACCUGCAGCCAAUCACUUUGCCCUCUCACCACAGCUUUUAAGAGACUUUGGAUGCAGACAUACUUUGUGAAGUAAACGUUCGGCAGACUAGCUUCUCUGUCGUUAUCCAAGCCUCAUCUACAGUGUUUAUUCGAAAAGUGACUUUGACCUUUGCUUACAUUCUCGACCUCGAUUUCUGCCUUGCCCCGUUUUGUUUGUUUGCAUGAUCACCUGACCCUUGCCUGUUUCACGACUACGAACUUUGAUUACUCCUCUGGAUUAUACUGCCUGAACCUGCUGCCCGCUUCUGCUUCCGUAUUCCCCAUGCACUCUCCUGCGCUCCUGGUCACUGCGGAUGCGUUCAAACACUUUGAGUAGCAGCCGAAUACAGAAAGAGAAAAUUUUCUGUCAAAGGAUAAGAUGGAGAAGUCAAAGAGGUUUCCAUGAGAAAAUUGGUUCUACACUUUGUUGUAAAUGUUCACAGAGGAUCCAUCAUUGGUAGUGUUAACUACAGCAUGUCAAUUCAGGGGGAACUGUUAUGUGUGGUCAAGAAUUAAAGUGUAAUAGUUUUAUCCCUGUCAGGGACACGGUUGGGAACACAGGGGGUGAGGUGAGAAUACCCCCUGGGUAGUAAGGCAGUUUGUCGCAUGGUACAGUGCACACACACAUUCACACACACAUUCACACCUAGGGGCAAUACAGUGUAGACAGUUCACUUCCCGGAAGAAACCCAUGAGGGACCCUGGAUCUGUGACGCUCCAAAUCUGCGCUGCUUGUGCCGUCUAUUUGACGCCUAUUAUGAUAAUCAUUCUAUUUCCCGUUAAGCAGUUAGAUAUACUGACCUAAUGCAAUCAGAGUGGACAAAUCAUAAAUCCAUUAGCUAGCCCACUGCAAAAGUAAAAACUCUAAUAUGCUUGCUCAGUGCCUUGUUUGGGUUGUCCAGACCUCUGAUUGUUUAAUUAAUUAUCUCACAUAAUGUAAUAAACUAGUUAGCUAGUGAAAUGAGUAAAUAAAUUCCCAUAUUGGGGAUGAUAAUCAUCAUCAUCAUCAUCUUUUUCUAGGAUAAAUAGAGCCCAUUUAAACAAAAAAAUAUACUUGGUCAUUUAUUUACUGAGGAAAAUAUCCUAAUAUUCACCCUUGGUAAAUAUGAGCAAAGAAGGAUGUGAAAGAUUGUCUUUAACCUUCUGAUAUUUUGUUUAAAAAAAAAAAAAAAAAUCACAAAAAUACUCUGCUCUCAUGGAUAAACAAUUGCAAACAAAACAAGUUUAUCAAAAAAAAAAAAUUGUUAAAUGUAUGUGUGGCACAAUUACUGGCACCCCUAUGAAUUCAUAUGAGAAAAAUAUAUUUUAAGUAUAUUCCCACUGAUAUUUAAAAAUUUUCAGUACACCUGGGUGACUACGAAAUUGAUCAAUUAUGACUUCCUAUUUCACAGAGGUAUAAAUAUGAGGUAAAACAUAGGCCAAAUUAACUUAGUCAUUCAUAACAAUGGGUAAGACCAAGGAAUAUAGCUGCGAUGUGAGGCAAAAGGUUGUUGAGCUUCACAAAAUGGGAAGUGGCUAUACACUUUGAAAAUGCCCAUUUCUACCAUUAGAGCAAUAAUUAAGAAGUUCCAGUCAAUUAAAAAUGUUAUAAAUAAACCUGGAAUUGGACGUGUGUCUAUAUUGUCUUAAUGCACUGUGAAGAGGAUGGUUCGACUGGCCAAAAAAUCUCCAAGGAUCACGUCUUGGGGUGAGAAAGUCUCCAAAACUAUAAUCCAAAGUCACCUACAUCACCACAAGUUGUAUGGAAGGGUUUCAAGAAAAAAGCCUCUACUCUCAUCCAAAAACAAACUCGAGUGUAUUCAGUUUGCCAGACAUUACUGGAACUUCAAAUGGGAUAAGGUUCUAUGGUCAGAUAAAACCAAAAUAGAGAGGUAGCCAUAUGGAAAAGUACCUCAUGCCCACGGUUAAAUAUGGUGGUGGCUCUUUAAUGUUUUGGAGGGUUGUUUCUGCCAAAGGACCUGGACAUUUUGUUAGGAUACAUGGCAUCAUGGACACUAUCAAAUAUCAAUAGAUCUUAAAUGAAAACCUGACUGCCUCUGCCAGAAAGCUUAAAAUGGGCCGUGGUCGGAUCUUCCAGCAGGACAAUGAUCCAGAACAUACAUCAAAACCAACACAAAAAUGGUUUACUGACCACAAUCAAGGUUCUGCCAUGACCUUCCCAGUCCCCUGACCUGAACCCCAUAGAAAACCUGUUGGAUGAACUGAAGAGGCGAGUCCACCAGCAUGGACAUCGAAAUUUGAAAGAUCUGGAGAGAUUCUUCCAUGCAGUAUUCUUUCAGUUGUGAUAUGUUUGAGGGUUUUCUUGUAUAUUCUGCCCGUUUCAAAUCCCCCCCCCAAAACAUUGCAAUGAGAUUCAAAUCCGGGCUUUGACUAGGCCAUUCCAAAAUGCUCCAUUUCUUCUUUUUGAGCCAUUCCUUGGUGGAUUUGCUAGUGUGCUUAGGAUCAUUAUCCUGUUGAAAGGUCCACUUUCAGUUCAACUUUAACUUUCAGACAGACAGCCUCACAUUAUCUUCAAGCACUCAUUGAUAUGAUGUAGAAUUCAUAGUUGAAUCAAUUAAUGCAAUCUGUCCGGUCUCUGAGGUAGCGAAGCAACCCCAAACCAUAAUAUUUCACCCAAGCCAUUCUUGAUAGGCCUUUUUGUUUGUUAUAAAUGUCUAAUUUAAGCAAAUUCAGUUGUUAUAGUAUAAUGUCCAUUGGAUGCAACCUCUGUAGCGGACCGUAAAUUUAUUGAAAUUGAAUGUUUACCCAUGAUUUCAGUUAUUAUGUGUUUGGUUUAUGUAGCAAGUUAUUGUUGGGCUUUUUUAUUUACAAUAAAACAAACUAAUACAAAAUGCACAAAAUACGAUAGCAUUGUACAAUUACGAUAUAAUAUGUAACAAUAAAAUUUUGGA